GACGAACGCUGGCGGCGUGCCUAAUACAUGCAAGUAGAACGCUGAAGGAGGAGCUUGCUUCUCCGGAUGAGUUGCGAACGGGUGAGUAACGCGUAGGUAACCUGCCUGGUAGCGGGGGAUAACUAUUGGAAACGAUAGCUAAUACCGCAUAAGAGUAGAUGUUGCAUGACAUUUGCUUAAAAGGUGCAAUUGCAUCACUACCAGAUGGACCUGCGUUGUAUUAGCUAGUUGGUGGGGUAACGGCUCACCAAGGCGACGAUACAUAGCCGACCUGAGAGGGUGAUCGGCCACACUGGGACUGAGACACGGCCCAGACUCCUACGGGAGGCAGCAGUAGGGAAUCUUCGGCAAUGGACGGAAGUCUGACCGAGCAACGCCGCGUGAGUGAAGAAGGUUUUCGGAUCGUAAAGCUCUGUUGCAAGAGAAGAACGAGUGUGAGAGUGGAAAGUUCACA
RNAcentral lists this ribosomal RNA (454 nucleotides) under Streptococcus mitis. RNAcentral's name for it is "bacterial SSU rRNA". It matches the Rfam family "Bacterial small subunit ribosomal RNA", at positions 28 to 468 of the family's 1533-position model. The record is from RNAcentral. Lineage: Bacteria; Bacillati; Bacillota; Bacilli; Lactobacillales; Streptococcaceae.